This 352-nucleotide small nuclear RNA is filed under the name Dipodomys ordii (Ord's kangaroo rat). RNAcentral's name for it is "7SK RNA (ENSDORG00000023458.1)". The stretch from base 1 to 272 matches the Rfam family "7SK RNA". Rfam says of the family: 7SK was discovered as an abundant small nuclear RNA in the mid-70s but a possible function has only recently been suggested. Two independent studies have found that 7SK RNA binds the CDK9/cyclin T complex (known as elongation factor P-TEFb). P-TEFb activates transcription by phosphorylating the C-terminal domain of RNA polymerase II. The record is from RNAcentral. Lineage: Eukaryota; Metazoa; Chordata; Mammalia; Rodentia; Heteromyidae.
GGAUGUGAGGGCGAUCUGGCUGCGACAUCUGUCACCCCACUGAUCGCCAGGGUUGAUUCGGCUGAUGUGGCUGGCUAGGCGGGUGUCCCCUUCCUCCCUCACCGCUCCAUGUGCGUCCCUCCCGAAGCUGCGCGCUCGGUCGAAGAGGACGACCAUCCCCGAUAGAGGAGGACCGGUCUUCGGUCAAGGGUAUACGAGUAGCUGCGCUCCCCUGCUAGAACCUCCAAACAAGCUCUCAAGGAAGGAGGAUCAUGGCACAAAGUCAGCCCCUGGGCAAAAAUUAAAGCAAAAGAGGGCUAGGGGCAUGGCAUAAAUAGUAGAGUACCUCCUAACAAGCAUAAGGCCCUGAGUU